This 652-nucleotide long non-coding RNA is filed under the name Hordeum vulgare. Its description in RNAcentral is "long non-coding RNA (HVUL_LNC018928)". The record is from RNAcentral. Lineage: Eukaryota; Viridiplantae; Streptophyta; Magnoliopsida; Poales; Poaceae.
UCAAGAAGAGUACAACAAACCGAGCAAGACUGCCCGAUGUGGCGACGACCCCGAUAAGAUCCAUGUAUCUUGUUCUCAGGACACAUCAGAUAAGCUACGCAUACAAAGGCCUGAUAGAAAUGACCCAAGUUGCCCUGGGUUGGCCCCGCACAAUGCUCUGGGUUGGAGCAACACUCAUGAGGAGCACUGGCCCGUGGGUUCAUUAAUUAUCCUCGGGUUAGCUAUUCCCUAUGCAUUUUUAUUAAGUUAUUUGGCAAAUGGAGUACCAAUGUUGGGUCUUGGCAAACGUGUCUUAAACCAAGACAAUUUAUCAAGGGGGUCAACAUAACAACCCCAAGCAUGUUACGAGCGCUCAAUGUGGAACAUAACAUCGGUAACCGGAAUCUAGGGCGACAAAAGUGGAACAAAACACUAAUCAAAAGGCCAAGACUUCCGCCUUUCAACAAGUAUAUAUGUGCAUUAAAUUAAAUAGAAAUAAUAAAAUGAUAUCUCAAAUAUCCAUGUAAGCACGUGGAUCACCUGCGCGUGCAACUAGCAACACUAUAAGAGGGGUUGAGCAAGCGCUAACUUAGCCAAUCAAUGUUUGCUAGGAUGUGAAUGGAUUAGAGUCUUAUCAUGGCAUUUUGGGAGGCUUCAUAUUUAGGUAGUAGGC